UUAACUUACCUAAGGGGCAAUGUAGGAGAGGGUUUGGGGCAAAAAGCUGUGAUACAUAUGUUGCAAAGAGAAGGGAGACAUUGAACAAAGCAGCACCCACUAAUUAAAAUAGC
This is a non-coding RNA of Pseudonaja textilis, 113 nucleotides long. Lineage: Eukaryota; Metazoa; Chordata; Lepidosauria; Squamata; Elapidae. The record is from RefSeq and is a predicted model, not a curated record.